GCGCUACUUAACAAUUUUUAAUUUUAAAAAAUCUAUUAUUUCCACCUCAACUAGCUAUGACAACAAAAGUAUCUGAGGUGUAUCCCUGUCCCAAGAAGGGGUUUAAAAAAAGAAGAUCGAGUCGCAAGAACAUGUUCCUAGUUAACGUCACUCUGGAUAGAAUGGAAACAAACCAGCUGCCCCUAAGGAUUCACGUUAUCCAACGCUACUUAUUUUUAAGAGAACAAUUUCCAAAGAAAGCACUGAAGGAUCUCGUCGCUUGUCCUUUAAUGUCCAAAACUUUCCAAUUAAAAUGCAUAACAAACAAUGAAUUUUGCAAUGUCAGUUGUAUCCUUUCCGGAAUCUCAAUUCCUUGGAGAAAAACUGGCUUCAAAGUCAUCAGUGACAAAAGGAUGAUGUUUCAUGUCAAGAAGUAUGUAGAAAAGUACAUAGCAUUGAAGAAAUCCCAGAAAAAAAUUGGAAUUGGUUAUCUUGAGACAAGAAAUAAAUUU
This is a non-coding RNA of Hydra vulgaris (swiftwater hydra), 491 nucleotides long. The record is from RefSeq and is a predicted model, not a curated record. Lineage: Eukaryota; Metazoa; Cnidaria; Hydrozoa; Anthoathecata; Hydridae.